Non-coding RNA from Acanthosepion pharaonis, 113 nucleotides. The record is from the annotation of a GenBank genome assembly. Lineage: Eukaryota; Metazoa; Mollusca; Cephalopoda; Sepiida; Sepiidae.
UUACGGUCAUAUCACGUUGAAACAUUGGUUCCCGUACGCUCAGCGAAGUUAAGCAAUGUCGAGUCUGGUCAGUGCCUAGAUGGGUGACAGCUUGAGAAUACCAUGUGCUGUAA